GAUGAACGCUGGCGGCGUGCCUAAUACAUGCAAGUCGAGCGAACAGACGAGGAGCUUGCUCCUCUGACGUUAGCGCCGGACGGGUGAGUAACACGUGUAUAACCUACCUAUAAGACUGGGAUAACUACGGGAAACCGGAGCUAAUACCGGAUAAUAUAUUGAACCACAUGGUUCAAUAGUUAAAGACGGUUUUGCUGUCACUUAUAGAUGGAUCCGCGCCGCAUUAGCUAGUUGGUAAGGUAACGGCUUACCAAGGCAACGAUGCGUAGCCGACCUGAGAGGGUGAACGGCCACACUGGAACUGAGACACGGUCCAGACUCCUACGGGAGGCAGCAGUAGGGAAUCUUACGCGAUGGGCGAGAGCUGGAUGGAGCAAAGCGGCGUGAGUGCUGAAGGUCUUCGGAUCGUAAAACUCUGUAAGUAGGAGAGAACAAAUGUGUAAGUAACUAUGCACGUCUUGACGGUACCUAAACAGAAAGCCCCGGCUAACUACGUG
This 497-nucleotide ribosomal RNA is filed under the name uncultured bacterium. RNAcentral's name for it is "partial 16S ribosomal RNA". It matches the Rfam family "Bacterial small subunit ribosomal RNA", at positions 28 to 507 of the family's 1533-position model. The record is from RNAcentral.